Molecule: ribosomal RNA, 492 nt
Filed under: uncultured bacterium
Lineage: Bacteria
Description: bacterial SSU rRNA
Rfam family: Bacterial small subunit ribosomal RNA
Source: RNAcentral
AAAGGAAUAGACGGGGGCCCGCACAAGCAGUGGAGUAUGUGGUUUAAUUCGAAGCAACGCGAAGAACCUUACCAGGGUUUGACAUGAUAACGAAGGCGGCAGAGAUGCCGAGGUCCUUCGGGACGUUAUCACAGGUGGUGCAUGGUUGUCGUCAGCUCGUGUCGUGAGAUGUUGGGUUAAGUCCCGCAACGAGCGCAACCCUUGUUGCCAGUUGCCAGCAUGAAAGAUGGGCACUCUGGCGAGACUGCCGGUGACAAAUCGGAGGAAGGUGGGGACGAUGUCAAAUCAUCAUGCCCUUUAUGUCCUGGGCUACACACGUACUACAAUGGCUAUUACAGCGGGGAGCCAUGCCGCAAGGCAGAGCGAAUCCCAAAAAAUAGCCCCAGUUCAGAUCGUGGGCUGAAACCCGCCCGCGUGAAGUCGGAAUUGCUAGUAAUUGCAGGUCAGCAUACUGCAGUGAAUACGUUCCCGGGCCUUGUACACACCGCCCGU